Molecule: long non-coding RNA, 3360 nt
Filed under: Marmota monax (woodchuck)
Lineage: Eukaryota; Metazoa; Chordata; Mammalia; Rodentia; Sciuridae
Source: RNAcentral
GGACAAGGCAGGAACUCCACCUCUUCCCUUCACUCCUGUUAUUUCUCAUCCUUUCCAGGCCGCUGGAGAGGACCGUCCCAGCAAGGUGUCCUGAGGAAAGGACCCUGGAACCAACAGGCAAGACCCCGUGUUCCUGCAUUCAGAGGGGAGUAGAGAGGACCAGUGUCCACAUGCAGCUCCUCUGGCCAUCCAGGCUGAGGCUUGUACAAUAGAGAGGGCCUCUGGGGACAUGUAGGAAGAAAGCCAGGCGGCGGGUAGGGACGAGCAGAGAGGCCCUGUCGACACAGCCGCUCCGCAGGGCUCUUGGUGCCCAUACUGCACACCGCUCAGCCACAUCAGGCAGCUGCCCACCAGGGACAGUCCUUGCUCGCUGUCAGCUGCCAGCCAUUGCGGGGGCGCUCUUCAUACCAACUCCAUGCUCAGAACCCUCUGGACACCUGAGAAAGGUCCUGAGAGAAACGGGACAGUCCUUGAGCCAUGUGACAGGGCUCCCUCACAGGAAAACGAUCGACAAAAGCCAGGAGCUGGAGGAGCCCACCUAGGCAGUGCCACUAUAACCAUCACGUCCAGCAGGCAGCACCCAUGCCAGGCCCUGUGGGGAAGCAUGGCCUGCAGGUUGCAGCUAGGCCUUGCCCACAGAGAGGCUCUGCCAGGGACCCAACAUCACGAAUCCAGACCCGGUGUUCUGGUAGCUGCUUUUCUCUCCCUGAAGCCUUCUCUGGCACACAGGUGGGCAGGCUGGCCAGCAGCAUGGCCUUGGCCUGUCUGCCUGCAUUUUCUGACUCCCAGUUAUACCUGGGCACCAUUCCCUGUAUCUCAGAUCUGUCCCAGUUUGGGCACAAGAUAAACUCAUUUCCUUCCUGUGCCAGUGAGCUCAGACACCAAGACACUGUGGAGGAAGGCAGGACUGCGGGUGUGGGGAGAGCCAGGUGCUCGGGAGCAUGGGGUAGGCUCCAGGUGAGGAGCUGGGCCCACACACUGCCGCUGUCUGCAGACAGCAGAUGGCUCUGGGCCUGUGUUUUCCAGAGCCUCAUACCUGGAACUUGGCCCCUGCCUCCUCCUGGUGUCCUCCUCCUGAACACCAGGUACGUGUUCAGCUCAUGGAGGACAGGCAGGCCGUCCUCAUCUUGGCUGCACCCCAGGACUUGUGCUUGUCUGUGGUGCAGCUCCAGCUGAUGCCAAAGUGGCACAGGGAGAACCUCUGGGACCAGCAAGGGUCCCUGGGCUUCUGUAAGCAGCACCCAUGCCAGGCCCUGUGCAGCCUCACCUCAGCCACCUGUGGGCUCAUCUGAGUGUUUGCACCUCUUUGUUUUCCUGCAUGUGGGACUCCUGGUGCAGCUGGAGGCAAGUAUCAUAGGACUCUUCUGUUCUGUCGGGGGCAACACCCUGUGCACCUUAGUGACCCAUGUACUGCUGUUAACAGUCAUGUUCUGGCCUCUUGUGCUGUGGCAGAUACUCUCCCUAGUCCAAUUUUUCCCACUAUAAUUUGUAUUGUCCAAAAAUUUAACUCUCCAGCUAGCCAGAGUCGCUCCACGUGUCUUCAACCUUGGGGUGAAACUGUUUGCGGCUUUUGUGACUCACUCUGUCCUUGGCUCCCUCCACCCUGAGGGCUGCCUUGCGGGGCCACCACAGCUCUGGUCACCAAGCCUGCCUGUCCCUGCUGCUCAUGGACAUGUGUCCUCCUGGAGUGGACGUCUGCUGUGUUCCAUUGUGCCUCCUGCAGUUUGGGGUGUGCUCAAGAUUCCUUCAAGGAGGAGGCCACUGGCUUCCUCUCCAGGGAAAGUGAGGAUGCCCCUUCCCAGGUCUCCCCAGUACAGGGUGGGACCCCAGCAGGCCACUGCCCCCAGUGAAAGUCUUUAGGAUGCUCCCAUUAACCAAACUCGUGAGAACCUGACACACACGAGAAAACGAAUCACUGCCUUGUAAUGGGAUUGCCCCUUCCCAGAGACGGAACACCACCCGCCCUUCUGGCUCCAGGCAGCUGGGAGGGAGGCUAGUUGGAGUUUGGUCAGUUGUGCAUCACCUGCAGUCAGGACUUCAGGGAAGCCUGGGAGGUGUUCUGGGCUCCCCCCUGGCACCCUGUCAUCCCCAGCCCCCCUCCCUGAAUUCCAGAUAACAUGCAGACCCAUGUGUCCUUGCUCACACAUCCUUCAUUUUGGGCUAUAGUUCUCAGCAAGGGGCAAUUCUGACAUCAGGGAACACUUGGCAAUGUGGGGACAACUUUGUCAAUAACUGGGAGGACCUGGUGGGUGAAGGGCAGGGAUGCUACUGAGCAUCCUGCGCAUACAGGCCAGCCCCCAAGACGGCUAACAAGAGGUACAUGUACCCCAAAGGACAGUGGGCCCCAGGGCCAGGAGCUGUGGCAGGCUGAGGGAUGGUCCACAAGCCCACGCAGCAGCCAAGAGCAGCUGAGGUGUGUUUUGUUUGGGUACUAGGAGUUGAACCUAGGGUGCUUUAUCACUGAGCUACAAACCCAACACUUUAUUUUGACGUUCUCAGAUUGGCCAGGCUGGCCUUGAACUUGAUGAUUCUCCUGCUUCGGCCUUUUAAGUCCUGGGAUUCGCCAACAUGUGCAGCCACACUCAUCUCUCCUGCUCUUUUUCUUUUUGAGUAAAGGGCAUUUUAUUCAGUAAAUAAUGCAAUUUGGAUAUUUACAUUGAUUAUGAAACUUUACCAGUUCCAGGUUUAUUUAACUGGCCAGAAAGGCAGCCAAGGUUUAGUGUCCCACUGAGAGCACACCAGGGGCCAGAGCCCGACUCAGCCUGCAGUGCCAACCUCGAAGUCACCACAGCUGCCCUGUCCAACCACUAAUGCACUCCAGGGGGCCUGGUCGCCUGCUCCACCUUCUCCCCACCAGCAGUAUUUGCCACCUCCAAAGUCAGUGUCCAGUUGGAGCCAGCACAGGCCUCAUAAGGCACGAUGGGCAGCCCCCAGGACCACUGGGGUCAGGACCCCAGAGGAAGGGGGACAAUCAGUCUGCAGCCCACUCUCCUGCUCAGGAACUGAACCCACAUGAGGAUUUUGAGUUGUCCCAGGCUUGCUGUCCACCAGGGCCCUGGUGGUCCUGUUUAGAGGACUCCUCCUCCCCAGCUGCAGGUCAAUCUCUCAGCUCUUGUCCUGGACACCACCUUGUCACAGGAGAGUAAGGAGCAGGAGCUCCAAACCUCAGUUCUGUGUCCUGGCGAAAGAAAAUCUAAAGUCAGACAUGAAAAGCUAAGCACAGGAAUGUUAUGAGUGAUUCGUAAGUAGAUAAAGAUGGUGAACAAAUGACCCUCCAGAUUCUGGAUAUACCUUCUAAAAGGAGAUGGUGAGGGCUGGGGUUGUGGCUCAACAGUAGAGCGCUCGCCUCACCCUGGGUUC